CGUUUGUCUGUUAUUGGUGUAUAAGAAUGCUUGUGAUUUUUGCACAUUGGUUUUGUAUCCUGAGACUUUGCUGAAGUUGCUUAUCAGCUUAAGGAGAUUUUGGGCUGAGAUGAUGGGGUUUUCUAGAUACACAAUCAUGUCAUCUGCAAACAGGGACAAUUUGACUUCCUCUUUUCCUAAUUGAAUGCCACUCAUUUUUAAACAUUUAGAUUAUUUUAUUGUUUUUGUAAUUCUAAACAUCUUGUACCUAACAUUUAUAUAAAGAAAAUGCAUCCUAUAUAUAUUAUUUCAAAUGCUAGACAUAUAAAGCUCAAUAACCUAAAAAGCUUCUGCACAGCAAAUGAAACAAUAGAGUGAAGAGACAACCUCUUGAAGGGGAAAAAAUUUGCAAAUUACUUGUUCCGCAUGGAAUAUCCAAAAUGUACAAGGAAUUCCAACAACUCAACAGAAAAAAAAUCCCACUAAAAAAUGGGCAAAAGGGCAAAAGACAUGAAUAGACAUUUCUCAAAGAAGACAUACAAACAGCCAGCAGGUAUAUGAAAAAAUGCUCAGCAUCAGUAAUCUCCAGGGAAAUGCAAAUCAAAACCGCAAUGAGCUAUCAUCUCACCCCAGUUCGAAUGGCUAUUAUCAAAAAGACAAAAUUUAACAGAUGAUGGCAAGGAUGUGCUGAAAAGGGAACUCAUACACUGUUAGUGAGAAUGUAAACUAGUACAGCCACUGUGGAAAACAGUAUUAAGAUUUCUCAAAAAACUAAAAAGAGGCCUACUAUACAGUCCAGUAAUCUCACUGCUAGGUAUUGAUUAUCCAAAGGAAAAUAAAUCAGCAUAUCAAAGAGAUGUCUGUACUCACAUGCUUAUUGCAAAGAUAUGGAAUCAACGUGUCAUCAGUGAACAAACGCAUUUAAAAUGUGGUAUAUAUGCACAAUGAAAUAUUCAGCCAUAAAGAGCGCAGUCAUGUCAUGUGCAGCAAUAUGAAUAGAACUGAAGGUCAUUAUGUGUAAGUGGAAUAACCUAAGCACGGAAAGACAAAUACUGCCUGCCUUCCCUCACAUGUGGGGACUAAAAAUCUUGAUCUUAUGGAUACAGAGAAUAGAAUGAUGGGUACCAGAGACUUGGAAGGGUGGGCGAGGGCAAGAGGAGAAUAAAGAGAGGUUGGUUACAGGCAUAAAGAUAUCAUUAGAUAGAAGAAAUAAGUUCUAGUGUUUUGAUAGCAGACUAGAAUGACUAUACUUAGCAAUAAUAUUAUGUAUAUUUCAAAGUAACUAGAAGAGAGGAACUUGCAAUGAUAUCAGUGUAAAAAAAUAAUAAACACCCAAGUUAAUGGAUACCCCAAAUACCUUGAUUUGGUCAUUACAUAUUCUAUGCAUGUAACAAACACUCACAUGUACUCCCAUAAAUAUGUAAAAUAUUGUCUAUCAAUACAAUAGAAAAUAUAGAUAUAUAAAAUUUUCAAAAAUAAUUCCUGGAGGUGUAAGUCUUCAGUUCAAGCUGUAGAAUUUUUAAAUGUAAUUGAUAUAUAUUGUCAAAUAGAACCCUAGUAAAUUUGUGACAAUUAACCCAUCUGCAAAAAUAUAAGAUUAAAGUGCCUCUCUCAAAGCAUCACCAUUAUUAUUCACAAAUCUUUGCUAAUUUGGAAGGCUAAAUUUAAAAAAUAGUUCAUCAAUCUUUUAAUUUGCAUUUCUUUGAUUUUUAGUGAAACUGUACAUUUUUAUAUGUUGAAUGAUCAUUUAUGUAUAUUUUAUUUUAUGAAUUUUUUAUUUUCCCCAUUUUGUAUUUAAAUGUUUGGGCUAUUUUUGUUUUUAUUUUUCCCCAAUAUAUCUUAAAAAUAGCAAUAAUAUAUUUAUCUACAAAAAUGGAUACUUCUGAAUAUACUUGCCAUAAAAUUAUUUUAAUUUUAAUUAAAGCUAAUUAAGGGUAAUUGACCAUAAAGCAACAUUUCACUGUCUGCUAGAAAAUUUCUAUAAAACUAUAAAAUUCAACUCCAGCAGGAAAAACUUGAAAUUUUCUUUCAAAAGCUAUAAAUCUUAUGUAACUAAAAUACAAUGACUAUCUUUAAAGAAUUUGUACUUAAACAAGAAGUUGUUAAUUCAAACUUUAUUCUCAACAGAAGCAACUUAUUAUAUUACCGAAUAGUGUCCUCUUCCCAGUUCCAGCACUGCAAGCCAUUACUCAAUUGUGGAAAUAACACUGAAUUUGUAGCUCAAAACAAACAAACAAACAAACAAAAAAAUUGAAAUGCUGACUAUGUUGCUAUCUAGCUGGGUGAUUUGGAAAAGUCUUUUGUCUUUUUAUGAGCCUUAUUUUUCUCAUUUAUUAAAUGAUAAAGUUGUAUAAAGUUGGUAUUCUAUUUCAGUUAUCCGCUUUGUGUUCAUAAUAUAUUUUUUUUUUGAGAUGGAGUCUUGCUCUGUCACCCAGGGUGGAGUGCAGUGGCACAAUCUUGGCUCACUGCAACAACCUCUGCCUCCCAGGUUCAAAAGAUUCUGCUGCCUCAGCCUCCGAAGUAGCUGGGAUUACAGGUGCUUGCCAUCACACCUGGCUAAUUUUUUGUAUUUUUAGUAGAGACAGGGUUUUGCCAUGUUGGCCAGGCUGGUCUUGAACUGCUGGCCUCAGGUGAUCCACCUGUCUCAGCCUCCCAAAGUGCUGGGAUUACAGGCGUGAGCCACCGCACCCGGCCCAUACUACUUUUAUAGUUUUAUAUAACUAUGUGUUUUUUUAAUUAUCUGUUUACUCUCUUCCCUACAAGAAUCUCAGAUCCACCUGAGUAGGAAAUUUGGUUUACUGCUUAUCCCUAGCCCUAGAAGAUGGCUAGCACAUAGUGAGUGUGCCAUCAAAAAAUUUCUAAAGAAUUGCCUGUCUGUUGUGUGCUAAGUACUAGGAUUUGAUGAUGACUAAAAUCCAUGCUCCUAAGGAAUUUACAAUCCAAUGGACAAAUUUGUGAGUGAAAACACCAAAAUAAUAUUUGCAGAGGAAAAUAUAUAUUCCAUAAAAUAUAUUGACUCAAAUAAUGACAACUUGAGCAAUGCAUGGUAAUAGCGAGUUUUUGUUGUUGUUUUGUCAGUUUGUUUACUUUGGUGUGGUAAGACAGAACUUGUGCCAUGUCUUGUAUUUGAAAAAGAAAGUCAUUGGUAGCUUGAUGGGGAUGGCAUUGAAUCUGUAAA
This 3157-nucleotide long non-coding RNA is filed under the name Homo sapiens (human). RNAcentral's name for it is "HSALNT0057075". The record is from RNAcentral. Lineage: Eukaryota; Metazoa; Chordata; Mammalia; Primates; Hominidae.